UACAGAGGGUGCAAGCGUUAAUCGGAAUUACUGGGCGUAAAGCGCACGUAGGCGGUUUUUUAAGUCAGAUGUGAAAGCCCCGGGCUCAACCUGGGAAUUGCAUUUGAAACUGGAAAACUAGAGUGUGUGAGAGGGGGGUAGAAUUCCAAGUGUAGCGGUGAAAUGCGUAGAGAUUUGGAGGAAUACCAGUGGCGAAGGCGACCACCUGGACUGAUACUGACACUGAGGUGCGAAAGCGUGGGGAGCAAACAGGAUUAGAUACCCUAGUAGU
This 271-nucleotide ribosomal RNA is filed under the name uncultured bacterium. RNAcentral describes it as "partial 16S ribosomal RNA". It matches the Rfam family "Bacterial small subunit ribosomal RNA", at positions 524 to 794 of the family's 1533-position model. The record is from RNAcentral.